Molecule: ribosomal RNA, 406 nt
Filed under: uncultured bacterium
Lineage: Bacteria
Description: partial 16S ribosomal RNA
Rfam family: Bacterial small subunit ribosomal RNA
Source: RNAcentral
GAUGAACGCUAGCUACAGGCUUAACACAUGCAAGUCGAGGGACCGGCGCACGGGUGAGUAACACGUAUACAACCUGCCCUUUACUCGGGGAUAGCCUUUCGAAAGAAAGCUUCAUACCCGAUAUAAAGGAUGGGGAUGCGUUCGAUUAGGUUGUUGGUGAGGUAACGGCUCACCAAGCCUUCGCUGGAUAGUGGUUCGGAGAGGAAGGGCCCCCACAUUGGAACUGAGAAACGGUCCAAACUCCUACGGGAGGCAGCAGUGAGGAAUAUUGGUCAAUGGGCGCUAGCCUGAACCAGCCAAGUAGCGUGAAGGAUGAAGGCUUAUGGGUCGUAAACUUCUUUUAUAUAAGAAGAUGUAUUAUAUGAAUAAGGAUCGGCUAACUUCGUGCCAGCAGCCGCGGUAAUUC